RNAcentral lists this long non-coding RNA (3654 nucleotides) under Gallus gallus (chicken). The record is from RNAcentral. Lineage: Eukaryota; Metazoa; Chordata; Aves; Galliformes; Phasianidae.
GUCAGGAGCGGCGGGCCGGGAGGGCGGAGCGGGAGGCGGUCGCUCGUCCUCCUGAGGGGAGCGCCGUCGUUGUUAUAAUGCCAGACUUAGAAAAAGUCAAUUAAACGUUUCUGUAAUACAACUCUUCCCCCUGGGGGCUGACGUGUGUGUCAGAGAGGGCUGCAGUCUCAGGAAGGCGCUCAGUGAAGGCGAUGCCCCCAAGCUGUCAGCCCUGCUUCCUCAGUCCUUGGCGUUAGGCGCAGCUGAGGGGCAGAGUUGGAAGCGGGGCGCGGGGUGCGGCGGGUGAUGUGGCAGACCCUGUGGAGGCGCGGUGACUAUUCCAGAAAUACAGAAGAAAUCUCCAAGUUCUGCAGCUUUUCUGUGACGCAGCUGAUCAGAUCACAGAAAAUUUCUAGGUGGGCAGACAACAAGGAAAAAAAAAGGAUAUUUUGUGAAGAAAAUGCUGUUUUUUUCUUCCUUUCAAGGCUUAUUUGAUAAUUCAUGUAACAUUUGGACACAAUUUUAGCUUCUAACAAAAAUAUGCCGAGUAGUACCUAGUACUUCAGUCUCCCUAAAUAUAUGGAUAUACCUAGUUGUCUACUAAUAUGUAAACCAUCUUUUUUGAAGCUAGCAACAGUAACUCCUACAUGUUGCAGUCUGGUAUACAAGAAAGACCUUUUCUUUACCUGUCUAUUUACAUCUUAAGAAGUAAUGCACUAUUUUAAUGAAAUGAUUAACAGGUAAAAUAUUUUGCAUUACCAAAUUGCAAAUCUCUUACAUUUGCUAUGGUUUUUGUUGCACUGAGUUUAUUUUGUAGCUCUGUAUUUACAUCCAAAUGGUUUGAAUUAGCUGAAGUGAAACUCCCAUACUUCUGAUUUAAUUUUCAGGCAUAUUUGAAAGCUGCCUCCUCUUGUGGCUGAGGAUUGUACUGUAUGUUUCACAGAGACAUGCAAAAUCCUGUAUUUUCUUCGUUCUCUGUCAUCUUUGAAAUUGCCCCAGCUGAACAUAGCUAUUGCAAUGACACAGUUAAUGUGACGGAAGUAGUCCUACACUGCCAACUGUGAUCUAAUGCCUUUGCAGAACUGUGGUUGUUUGGUUUUUUUUUACGUGGUAAGAGAAUCCAGAAAGGAAUACCUAAAAGCAACAGUUGAACUAGUUAAGUAUUUUGAAGUGAAAAUUUGAGGGGAAGCACUAUAAAUUUCGACUGAUUCAUCUGUUUGUACAGUUAACGUUUUGCUCUUUCUGAGGAAAUUGCAUGCAGACAGAAGGAAAUACAAGGCUUUUCGAAAGUGAAACUGCUUUGGAGCUUUGUAUAAUAGUAUAUGUAAAAAUAUUGAAAAGUUACUGCUACAGAAUGACAUGAAAUCAUCGGUCUCAAAAGAUGUCAGGUGCUUUACAGAUCUAUCAUGGAUUUGCUGGGUAGUUGUAAUGUCCCUUCCUUGGAGGAACAGCUGUUGUGUCCCAGGGAAACAUCUUUGCAGAGUGCUUUUUAUAACGUUGCAUCCUCAAGAAGUUUUCUCCGUGAAUCUGUAUGUUAAGGUACAAUUGAGGCUCUGUCUCUGUAGAAUGUGGUCACUAAUAAUGAAAUUGGACUCUGGUGCUUUGAUUUCUGAUCAUGCCUUAAGAUGACAAGCAGUCAGGCUAUGAAAGUGAAACAUACACAGUGUCAAAGAGCUGACCCAGAAGUUUAUGAAAAAGAAGAAAAGUUUUAUCCCAUCGCUGCUGUUUUCAUAGUUACCCUUUCCUUGUCUUUGCUCAGCUAAACAGGCUGACUUAUCACCUCUGCCACCUCCCACUGUUGCCACACUUAGCGCUGACUGAUUAUGCAGCAUGUAGUUUGGAAGGAUGGAAUUGGAAAGCCACCACAUUCUCUAGCGACCAAAACUGACUCAAUGCCCCAACUAGUAACAAUGACCUUUCCAUGAAAUCAUCUCUCUCUUAGCAUUACCUCUCGGUUCUUGGAAAAAGACUGACCGAAAGGAGGAACUGAGCAAUAGCCAUGUCAUUUCAUGAGUAACCAGUUGAAAAUAACUGAGAAUCACUCAGCGUUCCUUGGAGAAUCUUUCUUCAAAUUGACACCUGCCUUAAAAUCGCAGAUCUAACAGACCAUUCUGGCAUGUGUAGAUUUCCUACCAUGUACCUUCAUAUAAAAUUCAAGAGCAUGCUUCACUGUUAUUAAAUUAUGUAUGUUCAGAGGAAGACUAUCCUUCAGCAGUCUUUGAUCUGUAUUUCUGAUCUGGUAUCAUCUGAAGAAUAAUUUACAGUCUGUCUUAAGUGAAGACAUAAUCAGAGGUUAAUCAAGUGCAUUUUGUUUAACUGCAGUCUAAUGAAUCUGUUUAGCUCUCAGAGGAACAAUUACCAACAAAUUUUUGUAUUGGUUUGAUUUUACCUCGGAUCUGCCGUGCAAAUCUCCCAACACGUGGAAGACCUGUUUCGAAGAACAGUUCUCUUCUGAAUUCUUCAUCUUGUGACAUUGGUCUGUUGUUUUUUUUAAGAGAAAACAGAAAUUUUGGUUCAUUUGAGUAAAAUGAGUUGCUGGAAAUCGCUUCUCAUAGCCAGUAAACCUAUCUCUGUAGUGUAAGGAACAAAAUAUUAUGUAAAGCUGAGAAGAUUUGUUUUGUACGUAGAAAAAUGUUCAUUAAUCCUGGGGCUUAUGUGCCUUUUCAGACACAAAAUGGAAUAGCUAGUAUUAAGGAAAAAGUAGAUAUUAGUCUGCUGGUAGGAUGUUUUCUGAUAAUCUUUUAUUUGGUACGAAAACACAGCUAUAUAUGUUUUCAUUUCACAAGCAGCAUUUCCAAGUCUGGAAUCCAACUGUGCUUGCUGGACAUUAAAACAGCCGUAUCGAGUAAUACCUGAACUUGAACUGGGAUCAGCUGUGAAUGCUGCACCAGCUGAGAAAGACAUUAAAGAAAUUGUUGAUAACACAGAAUUGGGCUUCACAAAAUGGGGCUUUAUUUUGAAAUGGACGUCAUUACAAAAAAUAGCUACAUAAGAUUGAAUAGGACCCAUUCAAGUAAAACACUACAGUUUGCUCAGACCCCAUGAAGCAGCUCAGGUUCUUUUGCACUUGUUUUCACUUCUCCCCCAAAGUGCUCUGCUGUGGCUCCUUAACAUCAAAAGCUUUUCUAGAGAGAGAUGGAGGUGCUGACAGACUUUUUCUGCUGAAGGAGAGGGCAGGUGGAGGCAUAAUGGUGCCAGAAACGAGUCAGCACACAGCCCUUAGCAUGAGCCUGUGCAGACCCUACACGACAGCACUGGGUUGUGAGCAGCACGCACUGUGCUUGUAUUUCUGGCCUCUCCCCUGAACCAACAGCCACAGGCUGCUUUAGGGGAACUAAUUCAAGGUUGUGCUUUUGCAAAAGACAGCACAACUUUUGAGAUUAAAUCUAAGAGAAAAAUUGAUUUCUGCUCUAUGAGUGCUGCUGUUACAUUUACUCCUCCUUUAUGUCACUGUGUUAGAACUGUGCUUUUGUAUGUGCCGUUAUCAGCUGCUACGUUUUGGAUGUCACCUUUUAGUAUGGUGUUGGGUUUUGCCUGAGCCUCCAUAAUCUCUUGUGCUGCUUUCCUGUUUUACCCAUUUGAACUGUUUGAGCCAGACUGUAAUUUUUUCUCUCUUAGAGAACACUUACCCAAACCUGAAGUUCUCUGACCUCUUGCUUUGUUAGCUGGUUCUUU